AGUGGAAUUGCUGGGUCAUAUGGAAACUGUCUAACUUUAGAGUGACUGCUAAAUUCUUUUCCAAAGUGGUUGCAUCAUUUUAUAUUCCCAGCAGAAAU
This 98-nucleotide microRNA precursor is filed under the name Marmota monax (woodchuck). The record is from RNAcentral. Lineage: Eukaryota; Metazoa; Chordata; Mammalia; Rodentia; Sciuridae.